This 253-nucleotide ribosomal RNA is filed under the name uncultured bacterium. Its description in RNAcentral is "partial 16S ribosomal RNA". It matches the Rfam family "Bacterial small subunit ribosomal RNA", at positions 524 to 776 of the family's 1533-position model. The record is from RNAcentral.
UACGGAGGGUGCAAGCGUUAUCCGGAUUUACUGGGUUUAAAGGGUGCGUAGGUGGGUUGGUAAGUCAGUGGUGAAAUACUUUCGCUUAACGAAGGAACUGCCAUUGAUACUAUCAAUCUUGGAUACAGUGGAGGCAGGCGGAAUGCGUCAUGUAGCGGUGAAAUGCUUAGAUAUGACGCAGAACACCAAUUGCGAAGGCAGCUUGCUACACUGUUAUUGACACUGAGGCACGAAAGCGUGGGGAUCAAACAGG